Phyllostomus hastatus (greater spear-nosed bat) is the source of this 1281-nucleotide long non-coding RNA. RefSeq lists it as uncharacterized. The record is from RefSeq and is a predicted model, not a curated record. NCBI's taxonomy places the organism in Eukaryota, Metazoa, Chordata, Mammalia, Chiroptera, Phyllostomidae. The transcript has 6 exons.
UUGGCUGCCCCUUCAUAACCAUAAGAUAAUUAAAACGAGGGGGGGCAGGGUUAAAAAAACUUUUUUAUCAGCCAGAGGUUAAUGCAAGUGUUUAACAGAUGCUUCAUUAUUAAAAUAUUUUUUUCCCCACCUUUCAAAUAUUGAAGAAUCUCAAACCAGGGACAGCAGUCCUCAGGAAGACCUUGGGCGAUUUCAAAGCGCAGGCACCUCGGUUCCUCGAAUUUGUGAUGUGGCCGGUAUUGGUGUUCCCCUGGUUUAACUAGCCUGUUUGAAGGUGCAGGUCAUUCUUGGGGAAGUCCAACCCAAACCAGGCCUCCUCUGCCACCCAGGGGUCUUCCUUUCUGCCAGUCUCCAUCUGCCUGUGACUCAGAAAGACAAACUUCAGACUGGCCGAGCUGCAUCUCUGACCAGAUCCUUUGAGGCUUGUGUGGCAUGAAGAGUUCUGGCCCAGCUGAAAUGCCACCUCCUCCAGGAGUCCUUUCCAGAUCUCUGGGCACUUCCUGUGGGUCGUGGAGAGACCAAUCAAUGCACUGAAGCCAGUAGGUGCUUAAACAGCUUGUGUAAAAGGGGUGAUUCAGAGAAAUCAGGCGCCCGAAGACCCAGCCCAACAACUAGGGCCGGGUCGCGUCGGGGGCACCGCGCUCCUCCGCUGGGAUCACUGGGGCCGCGGCCGUCGCUGGACAGCGAGACGCAGAGUGAGACGCGGGGCUGCAGCCACAGCUCGGGACUGUACGGGGACAGGAAGCGCAUCCAGAGCCGCCACCCCAGACUCAGGCCACUGCGUGGGCUGCUGGGCCGCUCCCUUCCUCCUGGUUAAAUUUUCGUUUUGAUCCCACCGCCCUCUCGGUAACAACCGCCAAGGAGGCCAGAUCUCCGCCGCUCACCGCUGCGGGGAGGAGGGACCCCCCUCCCCAGCUUCCUCCAGCGGGUCUCGAGGACUUUUCGCUGGAGGCGGGCAGGAAGGGGUUAACCGCGCCCCUCCCCCCACCGCGCCCUCCGUGCCGGGCGAAGGCCGCCGCCUCCCUCGCGAGGUCUCAUUAGGGAAACCCUUACCGCUAUUUUCAACAUUUCCUCAAUCAAGAACCUUUAAAUAGAGCUGCACAAACAAAUUGGCGGCAAAAGCGUAGAUCUUGUCACGAUUGAGACCAAUCCCAAUAUUUCAGCCUUGUUUGCUUUGCAAUUACGGGUUGGCUUGUGGCAGCGGUGCCACCGGGGCAAAUCUGCAGCCGCCCGCGCUCUCCUCCGCACCCUCGGCGGGUGGAGGGGGCGAUCCGCACAGCC